RNAcentral lists this ribosomal RNA (1653 nucleotides) under Chaetosphaeridium globosum. RNAcentral's name for it is "bacterial LSU rRNA". It matches the Rfam family "Bacterial large subunit ribosomal RNA", at positions 930 to 2504 of the family's 2925-position model. Lineage: Eukaryota; Viridiplantae; Streptophyta; Coleochaetophyceae; Coleochaetales; Chaetosphaeridiaceae. The record is from RNAcentral.
UAAGAACUUACCAAACCAUUGCAAACUCCGAAUACUGAGAAAUGCAAUUACGGGAGACAGUCCAUGGGUGCUAACGUCCGUGGACAAGAGGGAAACAACCCAGACCGACAGCUAAGGUCCCAAAUGACGUGCUAAGUGGAAAACGAAGUGGGAAGGCAUAGACAGCCAGGAUGUUGGCUUAGAAGCAGCCAUCAUUUAAAGAAAGCGUAAUAGCUCACUGGUCGAGUCGUCCUGCGCGGAAGAUGUAACGGGGCUAAGCACGUAACCGAAGCUUCGGAUACUAGUUUACUAGUAUGGUAGGAGAGCGUUCUGUAGGCCUGCGAAGGUGUUCUGUGAGGAAUGCUGGAGGUAUCAGAAGUGCGAAUGCUGACAUGAGUAGCGAUAAAGGGAGUGAAAAGCUCCCUCGCCGAAAGCCCAAGGUUUCCUGCGCAACGUUCAUCGGCGCAGGGUGAGUCGGCCCCUAAGGUGAGGCAGAGAUGCGUAGCUGAUGGGAAACAGGUUAAUAUUCCUGUACCUCUAUACAAUGCGAUGUGGGGACGGAGAAGGUUAGGUCAGCCGGGUGUUGGAUGUCCCGGUUCAAGCGUGUAGUCAGAUUCCUUAGGCAAAUCCGGGGAGUCAAUGACGAGGCGUGAUAACGAGCGUACUUGUACGUGAAGUGAUUGAUACCAUGCUUCCAAGAAAAGCCACUAAGCUUCAGUUGUAUAAGACCGUACCGCAAACCGACACAGGUGGGCAGGAUGAGAAUUCUAAGGCGCUUGAGAGAACCCGGGAGAAGGAACUCGGCAAAUUAGCACCGUAACUUCGGGAGAAGGUGCGCCCCGGUAACGUGUAGAGACUUGCUCUUGAAGCGUGAUGGGGUUGCAGUGAAAAGGUGGCUGCGACUGUUUAAUAAAAACACAGCACUCUGCAAACACGAAAGUGGACGUAUAGGGUGUGACGCCUGCCCGGUGCUGGAAGAUUAAAUGAUGGGGUGCGAGCUCUUGAUUGAAGUCCCAGUAAACGGCGGCCGUAACUAUAACGGUCCUAAGGUAGCGAAAUUCCUUGUCGGGUAAGUUCCGACCCGCACGAAUGGCGUAACGAUGGCCACACUGUCUCCUCUCGGGACUCAGCGAAGUUGAAAUGUUUGUGAAGAUGCAAUCUACCCGCGGCUAGACGGAAAGACCCCAUGAACCUUUACUGUAGCUUUACAUUGGACUUUGACAAGAUUUGUGUAGGAUAGGUGGGAGACUAUGAAGCGGCGUCGCUAGAUGUCGUGGAGUCAACCUUGAAAUACCACCCUGAUGUUGUUGAGGUUCUAACCUAGGUCCAUAAUCUGGACUGGGGACCGUGUAUGGUGGGCAGUUUGACUGGGGCGGUCUCCUCCCAAAGAGUAACGGAGGAGUGCGAAGGUAACCUAGGWAAAAUAAAAAUAAGGUACWAAAAAAGAAAUGGCAUAAGGUUGCUUGACUGCGAGACGGACAGGUCGAGCAGGUGCGAAAGCAGGUCAUAGUGAUCCGGUGGUUCUGUAUGGAAGGGCCAUCGCUCAACGGAUAAAAGGUAACUCUGGGRRUAACAGGCUGAUUCCUCCCAAGAGUUAGAAUUUAGAAAAAGAAAGGGAAGUAAAUAGAUAGAGGUUGAAUUACUAGUAAAUAUAUAAAAGUGUGAUAAGAAGAA